GACCGGCUAGCUCAGUUGGUAGAGCAUGAGACACUUACCAUAAUCUCCGGGUGGUAAGUUCAAGCCCCUCAUUGGGCA
Molecule: non-coding RNA, 78 nt
Organism: Podarcis lilfordi (Lilford's wall lizard)
Lineage: Eukaryota; Metazoa; Chordata; Lepidosauria; Squamata; Lacertidae
Source: the annotation of a GenBank genome assembly